GUAAUGGCAAUAAUAUAUGAUAAAUGUAAUGAUAAUAAUAAAAGAUUAAUGAAAUGGUAAUAAAUAUUGAUCCGAACUAUAGAAUAAGAGAGCAUAUCCGCUGAAUUUAAGCAUAUAAUUAAGCGGAAGAAAAGAAAAUAACAAUGAUUCCUUUAGUAACGGCGAGUGAACAAGGAAAAGCUCAAAAGGAAAAUCCGCGCGUGGCGAAAACUACGGUGUGGAAUUGUCUGGUUGGGGUUUAAUAUUCUCCUUAUGCUUUGUUAGGUUACGAAAUUAGUAGGAAUACUAUUCCAUAGAGGGUGAAAGGCCCGUAGUUCCCUACAAUUAUAGAUGGAGUAUUCCCUGUAGAGUUGUGUUCUUUGAGAUUGGAGCACGAAUAUGUGUGAUACAUUUCACAUAAAGCUAAAUAUUUGUAGGAAACCGAUAGUAAACAAGUACCGUGAGGGAAAGAUGAAAUAGCACUUAGGAAUGAGGUUUAAACAAUACCUGAAAUCGUUAAGGUGGAACGGAUUGAGAGAGAAAUAACGUAAGAUUAAUAAUAUUUAUUUUUUCUCGACGGAGUAUUUAAAUAUUCAUAUCUUAUUAAAGAAGCAUCAGUGAACUUUUGGAUCAUUAAAACAUGGUUUCGUUCUUUACAAUCAUAAUGUGUUUUCUAAAGAUUUCGUAUCACUCUGCUGAUGGUUACAUACGAGCCAUUGCGAUGUAUCUAGUUUACUGAGGCGUAAUAUAAUAAGUUGGUGUGACGCCCAUACUUGUUUAAGUUGCUUCUAAAAAGCACUUUCUCAACCCACCCGUCUUGAAACACGGACCAAGGAGUCUAACAAAUGUGCAAGCGUAUAUAUGUUUUUAACUAUACAAUAAAGAAAUUAUACUUUAUAAUUACGCGUAAUUAAUGUGACCAUUCUGGCUUAAAAACGGGUGUAGAUUAUACUGAAAUUGAAUUAUUUAUUUUUCACUUGAAGUAUAUGCAUACAAUACCAGUUAGCAAUUAUGCUUAAUUGAGUAUGAGUAUAUUUGUUAGGACCCGAGAGGCUUUGAACUAAGCGUGGUGAGAUUGAAGUCAGACGAAAGUCUGAUGGAGGAUCGAAUUGAUACUGACGUGCAAAUCGUUCAUUUCAAUCACGUUUAGGGGCGAAAGACUAAUCGAAAAGCCUAUUAGCUGGUUAUUUUCGAAAGAUCUCUCAGGAUCGCUGGAGUUGAUUAUAUAGUUUUACGAGGUAGAGAUACUGAUAAUAGGAAUCAGGGAAAGCGUUUCCUUGACCUAAUAUCAUACUCCCAAUACGUAAUAAGGGAAUUAUAUCUUAACUGCAUUUUUUCCAUUAUAAAUAAAAUAACUCCAAGUGUGCCAUUUUUGGUAAGCAGAACUGGCGAUGAGGGAUGCUCCUAACGCUUGGAUAAGGUGCCUAAAUAUUCGUUCAUAGAUACCAUAAAAGGUGUUGUUUUAUAAUGACAGUAGGACGGUUGUCAUGGAAGUUGAAAUCCGCUAAGGAGUGUGUAAAAACUCACCUACCGAAUGGAGUAGCCCUGAAAAUGGAUGGCGCUAAAACGAGUUACCGAUACCAGGCCAUAGAAAGAACACAAAGAACGAGAGUUGCGCCCUUUUUUUUUCUCGAAUCUUUCUAUGAGUAGAAAAUCGUGGGGUUUGUGUCGAAGCAAUAUGCGUGAGCUAUUGUGGAACAUAUCCCUAGUGCAGAUCUUGGUGGAAGUAGCAAUAAUUCAAAUGAGAACUUUGAAGACUGAAGUGGAGAAGGGUUUCUUGACAACUUUGAUUGUACAAGAGUUAGCCGCUCCUAAGGGAAAGCUGAAAUGCAUUUAAAUGGGGAUUUGGUGUUGCAAGCAAUUGUUGCAUCUUUUCUCUGUCCCAAAAGGGAAACAGGUUAAUAUUCCUGUGCCUAGGUCAGUGUUAUGUAUAUGAUGGUAACAUAAUUUGGAGUGAACUUCUUAACGUAGGUUUCCCGUCCGAGAUGCGUUAUCUUUGCAUAUUAACUCUCGAAAUCGACCUUGGAAUCAAUUUAAUUGGAGAAGAGGUUUAUUCAAUUGCAAUUCAGAACGUAUUUAAGUGGGAAUUAUUUAUAAUUCUCAUUUAAAAAAAUUCUGUUUUGUAGUAAUAGUAAUUCAAUAUUUUGAAUUAUCGGAAUGCGAAAACUACCCUUGAAAAAAGAAGGGAAUAGCUAUAUGUAGUGACCAUAUUUUGACGUUUUUAAGAGAGAUGUAUAUUAAAUUGUAAGGUUGUAUUUAAGCCUGCACUCUUGCAAUUUGUAUAUAAUUGCUUUUAAAUAAUAAAUAUGUUAACUAUGAUAGCAUAUAUAACGAUGCCACAUAGUGCGUACCCACAACCGCAUCAGGUCUCCUAGGUUAAUAGCCUCUGGUUAAAUAGAAAAAAGCAGGUAAGGGAAGUAAGCAAAUUGGAUCCGUAACUUCGGGAAAAGGAUUGGCUCUGAGGACAUAUGAGUAGAAAAGUUUAAAUUAGCAUUUGAAAAAUGUUAUAAGGAAAGCAUCUUGGUUCGCCAAGGUGUUUUUUUUUUAUUUCAUUUUCCUUAUGUUUAUUUUAUUCUAUCCCUCUACUCGCCGCCAUUAUUAUUACUUCGGUGAUAUUAAUGGCUAUUAUGUUAACUCAGAACUGAAACGGACAAGGGGAAUCCGACUGUUUAAUUAAUACAUAGCAUUGUGAACGCCAUAAAUGGUAUUAACACAAUGUGAUUUCUGCCCAGUGCUUUGAAUGCCAACUUGAUGAAAUUCAAUUAAGCACAGGUAAACGGCGGGAGUAACAAAAAAACUCUCUUAAGCAAGAUGCAUUGUGUCAUGGAAUUAUGACGUAAUGAUAGAUUAACGAGAUUCCCACUGUCCCUACUUGCUAUCUAGCGAAACCACAACCAAGGGAACGGGCUUGGUAAAAUCAGCGGGGAAAGAAGACCCUGUUGUGCUUUACUCUAGUCUGGCUUUGUGAAACGACUUAAGAGGUGUAGCAUAAGUGGGAGUAGGGAUUGAAAUAUAUCUUCUACGUCAAUUAAAUACCACUACUUUUAAUGAUGUUUCACUCAUCUAUUUACCAGGAUAUUAUACAUGUCGAGAAUUUCGGUUCUUGUUCUGUAUAUAAAAUAUUAUGCGUGUUGAAGAUAACUUCACGGUUAUCUUAUUAUCCUAACCCGGGGUAUAGAGACAUAGCCAGGUGGGGAGUUUGACUAGGCGGUACAUCUGUUAAACAAUAAUGUAGAUGUCCAAAGACAAGCUCAAAGAGAACAGAAAUCUCUUGUAGACUAAAAGGGGACAAGCUUGUUUGAUUUCUAUUUUCAGAAAAAGUAGAAAACGUGAAAGCGUGGCCUAUCGAUCCUUUAUAUUUGCAAAAUGACGGGACUUGCUCCCUACUGUGCAUAUAGAGGUGUCCGAAAAGUUACCACAGGGAUAACUGGCUUGUGGCUGCCAAGCGUUCCUAGCGACGUAGCUUUAUGAUCUUCGAUAUCGGCUCUUCCUAUCAUUGGGACGCAGAAGUCUCAAAGUGUCGGAUUGUUCACCCGCUAAUAGGGAACGUGAGCUGGAUUUAGACCGUCGCGAGACAGGUUAGUUUUACCCUACUGAUGAAUUUUAUUAUUAUAUUAUAAAUAUAUAAUGUAUUGUGACAGUAAUCCAACUUGGUACGAGAGGAUUAGUUGGUUCAGACAUAUGGUACAGCGAUUGGUUGACCAACCAUUGUCGCGAAGCUACGUCUGUUGGAUAAUGACUGAACGCCUCUUAAGUCAGAACCCAUGCUGAUUAAACGAUACUAUUGGUUCUUUUUUGCCCACUU
RNAcentral lists this ribosomal RNA (3784 nucleotides) under Plasmodium chabaudi adami. RNAcentral's name for it is "eukaryotic LSU rRNA". It matches the Rfam family "Eukaryotic large subunit ribosomal RNA". Lineage: Eukaryota; Apicomplexa; Aconoidasida; Haemosporida; Plasmodiidae. The record is from RNAcentral.